UCCCACCCGUGUCUAUCGUACCUUGUUGCUUCGGCGGGCCCGCCGUUUCGACGGCCGCCGGGGAGGCCUUGCGCCCCCGGGCCCGCGCCCGCCGAAGACCCCAACAUGAACGCUGUUCUGAAAGUAUGCAGUCUGAGUUGAUUAUCGUAAUCAGUUAAAACUUUCAACAACGGAUCUCUUGGUUCCGGCAUCGAUGAAGAACGCAGCGAAAUGCGAUAAGUAAUGUGAAUUGCAGAAUUCAGUGAAUCAUCGAGUCUUUGAACGCACAUUGCGCCCCCUGGUAUUCCGGGGGGCAUGCCUGUCCGAGCGUCAUUGCUGCCCUCAAGCACGGCUUGUGUGUUGGGCCCCCGUCCCCCUCUCCCGGGGGACGGGCCCGAAAGGCAGCGGCGGCACCGCGUCCGGUCCUCGAGCGUAUGGGGCUUUGUCACCUGCUCUGUAGGCCCGGCCGGCGCCAGCCGACACCCAACUUUAUUUUUCUAAGGUUGACCUCGGAUCAGGUAGGGAUACCCGCUGAACUUAAGCAUAUCA
Molecule: ribosomal RNA, 528 nt
Filed under: Aspergillus fumigatus
Lineage: Eukaryota; Fungi; Ascomycota; Eurotiomycetes; Eurotiales; Aspergillaceae
Description: eukaryotic LSU rRNA
Rfam family: 5.8S ribosomal RNA (bases 159-312)
Source: RNAcentral